GAAGGAAGUGCCUGGCCAGGUCCAUCUAUCUCUGAAUCAGAGGAAGUGCUCAGGCCAGCAUCAUGAAACAGCCAUGGUGGGACUUUUUCUUUUAUUUUCUUCUACCCCUUCAACUCACCUCCUUGUCCAUAAUCAGAAAUGAGAGGAAAUGAGGCAAAGGGUGAUGCUGGCAUGCCAGCUCUGGAAGCCGUGAAGCCUAGAUUUAUACAGCACUCUCUGCAAGUGCUACACACACCAAUAAAAAGAGAGUUCUUCAGAAAAUGAGGUGUGACGCAGGCCAGCUUUGCCAAGACUCUCGGACCAAGAAAUAAGGAUUUAAAUAUGAAAUACUAAAAUUUAACACAUGACUGAAACAAAAUAAAUGGUGUACUACUGAAA
Molecule: long non-coding RNA, 378 nt
Organism: Cebus imitator (Panamanian white-faced capuchin)
Lineage: Eukaryota; Metazoa; Chordata; Mammalia; Primates; Cebidae
Exons: 2
Source: RefSeq, a predicted model, not a curated record